UGCAGUCGAGCGACGGACGAGAAGCUUGCUUCUCUGAUGUUAGCGGCGGACGGGUGAGUAACACGUGGAUAACCUACCUAUAAGACUGGGAUAACUUCGGGAAACCGGAGCUAAUACCGGAUAAUAUUUUGAACCGCAUGGUUCAAAAGUGAAAGACGGUCUUGCUGUCACUUAUAGAUGGAUCCGCGCUGCAUUAGCUAGUUGGUAAGGUAACGGCUUACCAAGGCAACGAUGCAUAGCCGACCUGAGAGGGUGAUCGGCCACACUGGAACUGAGACACGGUCCAGACUCCUACGGGAGGCAGCAGUAGGGAAUCUUCCGCAAUGGGCGAAAGCCUGACGGAGCAACGCCGCGUGAGUGAUGAAGGUCUUCGGAUCGUAAAACUCUGUUAUUAGGGAAGAACAUAUGUGUAAGUAACUGUGCACAUCUUGACGGUACCUAAUCAGAAAGCCACGGCUAACUACGUGCCAGCAGCCGCGGUAAUACGUAGGUGGCAAGCGUUAUCCGGAAUUAUUGGGCGUAAAGCGCGCGUAGGCGGUUUUUUAAGUCUGAUGUGAAAGCCCACGGCUCAACCGUGGAGGGUCAUUGGAAACUGGAAAACUUGAGUGCAGAAGAGGAAAGUGGAAUUCCAUGUGUAGCGGUGAAAUGCGCAGAGAUAUGGAGGAACACCAGUGGCGAAGGCGACUUUCUGGUCUGUAACUGACGCUGAUGUGCGAAAGCGUGGGGAUCAAACAGGAUUAGAUACCCUGGUAGUCCACGCCGUAAACGAUGAGUGCUAAGUGUUAGGGGGUUUCCGCCCCUUAGUGCUGCAGCUAACGCAUUAAGCACUCCGCCUGGGGAGUACGACCGCAAGGUUGAAACUCAAAGGAAUUGACGGGGACCCGCACAAGCGGUGGAGCAUGUGGUUUAAUUCGAAGCAACGCGAAGAACCUUACCAAAUCUUGACAUCCUUUGACAACUCUAGAGAUAGAGCUUUCCCCUUCGGGGGACAAAGUGACAGGUGGUGCAUGGUUGUCGUCAGCUCGUGUCGUGAGAUGUUGGGUUAAGUCCCGCAACGAGCGCAACCCUUAAGCUUAGUUGCCAUCAUUAAGUUGGGCACUCUAAGUUGACUGCCGGUGACAAACCGGAGGAAGGUGGGGAUGACGUCAAAUCAUCAUGCCCCUUAUGAUUUGGGCUACACACGUGCUACAAUGGACAAUACAAAGGGCAGCGAAACCGCGAGGUCAAGCAAAUCCCAUAAAGUUGUUCUCAGUUCGGAUUGUAGUCUGCAACUCGACUACAUGAAGCUGGAAUCGCUAGUAAUCGUAGAUCAGCAUGCUACGGUGAAUACGUUCCCGGGUCUUGUACACACCGCCCGUCACACCACGAGAGUUUGUAACACCCGAAGCCGGUGGAGUAA
This 1399-nucleotide ribosomal RNA is filed under the name Staphylococcus aureus. RNAcentral's name for it is "bacterial SSU rRNA". It matches the Rfam family "Bacterial small subunit ribosomal RNA". Lineage: Bacteria; Bacillati; Bacillota; Bacilli; Caryophanales; Staphylococcaceae. The record is from RNAcentral.